This is a long non-coding RNA of Dreissena polymorpha, 810 nucleotides long. RefSeq lists it as uncharacterized. The transcript has 6 exons. The record is from RefSeq and is a predicted model, not a curated record. NCBI's taxonomy places the organism in Eukaryota, Metazoa, Mollusca, Bivalvia, Myida, Dreissenidae.
AGAUCAAAGCAGAUUUUGAUUUGAUCAAAAUCAACAAUAGGGGCAUACUGACGUUACUGCAACAGCAGGAGGAAUGUGGAGGACAUGCGUGCGGAAACGCUGCUUCUCUUGAAAAGCUCAAACAUGACCUCGAAACCCUUACUCAGCGAGUAUCAUCAGUCGAAGAAUCGGUACAAGAGAGGAUCGAAAGGAAACGAAAUGGGAAACAAACGCGUCAUCGCUUCGACGAGUUUCAUACGCAGGUAGAUGAAAUGCAAAGUCUUCUCCGUCAUGUGCAAAUUGGAAGCAUUACGAAUAGUAAAUUCGAUUCCACACAUGUUAGGGAUUCUUCGGGGAAUAACUCUGUACUAGAGACUGAUAAAAGUACAGUCAUAAGUGAGGCUGGAGUACAAAUCCAUGUGGGUGGCGCAGUACAGAGAAAUGCCAAUGUUCCAAACCGUGAUCAGCAUAGCUGCAAUUCAGACAAUACUGCUCGCACAACACGGACAGAUUUGGGUUCAUCAUCGUGAGUAUGAAUUGCACUAACUAACACAAUGUUUGAUGCGAGGCAAUGUAUUUAAAACUGAAACCAGUCAACGAGAAUUAAUACAUCAGAUUUCGUCUGAUCCAAUUGCAGUAGGAGAAACAAGAACGAAUCCACCCGGAGUCGUGACCUUAUCGGGACAGGCUACGACUUUGGCAAUUGACAAAGACGUCUGGAUCGAUGCAUCGAUAAUGGCAAUGAAUGACGCCCGGUUACAGAGGCGCUCUUUAAAAGGAUUUCAUACCGUCUUGUUGCUAGACAUAUCAGAAAGUAUGCUUUCUGAUAAC